UACGGAGGGUGCAAGCGUUAUCCGGAAUUAUUGGGCGUAAAGCGUCCGCAGGCGGUUUAUUAAGUCAAAUAUUAAAUCUUGAAGCUCAACUUCAAGGCCGUAUUUGAAACUGGUAAACUAGAGUCUUCUAGAGGCACGUGGAAUUCUGUGUGUAGGGGUAAAAUCCGUAGAUACACAGAGGAACACCAAAAGCGAAGGCAGCGUGCUGGGGAAGUACUGACGCUCAUGGACGAAAGCGUAGGUAGCGAACGGG
RNAcentral lists this unclassified non-coding RNA (253 nucleotides) under uncultured Candidatus Altimarinota bacterium. RNAcentral describes it as "uncultured Candidatus Gracilibacteria bacterium contains 16S-23S intergenic spacer region". It matches the Rfam family "Bacterial small subunit ribosomal RNA", at positions 524 to 776 of the family's 1533-position model. Lineage: Bacteria; Candidatus Altimarinota. The record is from RNAcentral.